This 1169-nucleotide ribosomal RNA is filed under the name Alternaria japonica. RNAcentral describes it as "partial large subunit ribosomal RNA". It matches the Rfam family "Eukaryotic large subunit ribosomal RNA", at positions 56 to 1213 of the family's 3401-position model. The record is from RNAcentral. Lineage: Eukaryota; Fungi; Ascomycota; Dothideomycetes; Pleosporales; Pleosporaceae.
UAUUGUCAGAACACAGGGAUGCCCUAGUACGGCGAGUGAAGCGGCAACAGCUCAAAUUUGAAAUCUGGCUCUUUUAGAGUCCGAGUUGUAAUUUGCAGAGGGCGCUUUGGCUUUGGCAGCGGUCCAAGUUCCUUGGAACAGGACGUCACAGAGGGUGAGAAUCCCGUACGUGGUCGCUGGCUAUUGCCGUGUAAAGCCCCUUCGACGAGUCGAGUUGUUUGGGAAUGCAGCUCUAAAUGGGAGGUACAUUUCUUCUAAAGCUAAAUAUUGGCCAGAGACCGAUAGCGCACAAGUAGAGUGAUCGAAAGAUGAAAAGCACUUUGGAAAGAGAGUCAAACAGCACGUGAAAUUGUUGAAAGGGAAGCGCUUGCAGCCAGACUUGCUUGCAGUUGCUCAUCCGGGCUUUUGCCCGGUGCACUCUUCUGUAGGCAGGCCAGCAUCAGUUUGGGCGGUAGGAUAAAGGUCUCUGUCACGUACCUCUCUUCGGGGAGGCCUUAUAGGGGAGACGACAUACUACCAGCCUGGACUGAGGUCCGCGCAUCUGCUAGGAUGCUGGCGUAAUGGCUGUAAGCGGCCCGUCUUGAAACACGGACCAAGGAGUCUAACAUCUAUGCGAGUGUUUGGGUGUCAAGCCCGAGCGCGUAAUGAAAGUGAACGGAGGUGGGAACCCGCAAGGGUGCACCAUCGACCGAUCCUGAUGUCUUCGGAAGGAUUUGAGUAAGAGCAUGGCUGUUGGGACCCGAAAGAUGGUGAACUAUGCUUGAAUAGGGUGAAGCCAGAGGAAACUCUGGUGGAGGCUCGCAGCGGUUCUGACGUGCAAAUCGAUCGUCAAAUUUGGGCAUAGGGGCGAAAGACUAAUCGAACUAUCUAGUAGCUGGUCUGCGAGUCUCCCUCAGGAACCAGCUAUUGAAACUCCAAUAGCCUUCGCCCUAUGCCCAAUUUGAGACGAUUGACGUCAAACCCUGCGACCUCACAAACUCCUCUCGCUUCCCUAAUCAGGCAAGUUCACGUUUCGGACGAUACUAGUCUUACUCAAACUCUCGAAGACUGGACUGUCGAGUUCCCUUGCGUGCCACUCGCGUUACCUAUAAUCGCUGCAGACGAACUCUGAAGUAUCUUGACCGUCAUAGCGUUGCUAUGCCACGCUAAUGAUGCGCUUACGGAUUACC